RNAcentral lists this ribosomal RNA (300 nucleotides) under uncultured bacterium. Its description in RNAcentral is "bacterial SSU rRNA". It matches the Rfam family "Bacterial small subunit ribosomal RNA", at positions 114 to 416 of the family's 1533-position model. The record is from RNAcentral.
CGCGUGGGGAACGUGCCCUUUGCUACGGAAUAGUCCCGGGAAACUGGGUUUAAUACCGUAUGUGCCCUCCAUUUUGGUGAUGGUUGGGGAAAGAUUUAUCGGCAAAGGAUCGGCCCGCGUUGGAUUAGGUAGUUGGUGGGGUAAUGGCCUACCAAGCCGACGAUCCAUAGCUGGUUUGAGAGGAUGAUCAGCCACACUGGGACUGAGACACGGCCCAGACUCCUACGGGAGGCAGCAGUGGGGAAUCUUGCGCAAUGCGCGAAAGCGUGACGCAGCAACGCCGCGUGGGGGAAGAAGGCC